UGCUGUUUUAAUUUAAUUAAUUGUGAAUUUAAGUGAUUGUAUUUAUAUUCCCAUUUAUGUGUCUUAAUAUCCAUGUAUAUGUAUUUUUAUUUACUGAAUUGAAAUGCAAGACUUGUUGGCUGAGUCUAUAUUGACUGGUACCUAUGUUAUUGCAGAUCAGAUUAGAGAUCAGGUGCUUCUCACUUUUAAGGAUACAUUAAGAGCUUGGCGUAUGGUCCAAAAUAUGAAGCUCCGUUGGAAUGCCAAGAAACAAUGAUAGACUGCUUGCAGCAGGAUUCCACUGGCUGCUCCAUAGAAAGUUGUAGUGGUGCUUCUGGGAUUCUUUUUCCAGGGCUUUAGCUACAGAUCUACUUGAUUACGCAUCUUGAAGCCAAUAUUUUCUGUAAUCAUGGAGUCUGAAAGUUCAAGUGAGGCAUCGUUGGAGAAAUCAAUGGAGAAUGCGCUGCACGUGCAAAAUUCAGAUAAUCCAGGUUUAAUCUUGGUAAGUGCUCCUCUAAAUGGUACAAAUUAUUUGACUUGAAGUAGAGCUAUGAAGAUCGCUUUGUGUGCAAAAGAUAAGAUAGGGUUUGUUACUGGUGAAAUUGUGACGCCCCUUACCCGUCUAUAGUGUAGCCGAGUAAAGUGUGCU
Hevea brasiliensis (rubber tree) is the source of this 628-nucleotide long non-coding RNA. RefSeq lists it as uncharacterized. The transcript is spliced from 4 exons. Lineage: Eukaryota; Viridiplantae; Streptophyta; Magnoliopsida; Malpighiales; Euphorbiaceae. The record is from RefSeq and is a predicted model, not a curated record.